GGAUAACCUGCCCUUGGGACCGGCAUAACCCCGGGAAACUGGGGAUAAUUCCGGAUAACGCAUAUAUGCUGGAAUGCUUUAUGCGUGAAAUGGAUUCGUCUGCCCAAGGAUGGGUCUGCGGCCUAUCAGGUAGUAGUGGGUGUAAUGGACCUACUAGCCUACAACGGGUACGGGUUGUGAGAGCAAGAGCCCGGAGAUGGAUUCUGAGACAUGAAUCCAGGCCCUACGGGGCGCAGCAGGCGCGAAAACUUUACAAUGCGGGAAACCGUGAUAAGGGGACACCGAGUGCCAGCAUCAUAUGCUGGCUGUCCAGGUGUGUAAAAUACACCUGUUAGCAAGGGCCGGGCAAGACCGGUGCCAGCCGCCGCGGUAACACCGGCGGCCCGAGUGGUGAUCGUGAUUAUUGGGUCUAAAGGGUCCGUAGCCGGUUUGGUCAGUCCUCCGGGAAAUCUGACAGCUCAACUGUUAGGCUUUCGGGGGAUACUGCCAGACUUGGAACCGGGAGAGGUAAGAGGUACUACAGGGGUAGGAGUGAAAUCUUGUAAUCCCUGUGGGACCACCUGUGGCGAAGGCGUCUUACCAGAACGGGCUCGACGGUGAGGGACGAAAGCUGGGGGCACGAACCGGAUUAGAUACCCGGGUAGUCCCAGCCGUAAACGAUGCUCGCUAGGUGUCAGGCAUGGCGCGACCGUGUCUGGUGCCGCAGGGAAGCCGUGAAGCGAGCCACCUGGGAAGUACGGCCGCAAGGCUGAAACUUAA
This 759-nucleotide ribosomal RNA is filed under the name uncultured archaeon. Its description in RNAcentral is "bacterial SSU rRNA". It matches the Rfam family "Archaeal small subunit ribosomal RNA", at positions 102 to 859 of the family's 1478-position model. The record is from RNAcentral.